This is a regulatory RNA element of Clostridium tyrobutyricum DIVETGP, 89 nucleotides long. It matches the Rfam family "Glycine riboswitch aptamer". From Rfam's summary of the family: This family represents the bacterial glycine riboswitch. Glycine riboswitches usually consist of two metabolite-binding aptamers domains with similar structures in tandem. The aptamers cooperatively bind glycine to regulate the expression of downstream genes. The record is from Rfam. Lineage: Bacteria; Bacillati; Bacillota; Clostridia; Eubacteriales; Clostridiaceae.
GGACGAAACUCUGGAGAGACUCUAUUGAGCGCCGAAGGGGAAAGCUUUGUUCCAGCGAAACUCUCAGGUAAAAGGACAGAGAUUUUAUA